Molecule: long non-coding RNA, 850 nt
Filed under: Equus caballus (horse)
Lineage: Eukaryota; Metazoa; Chordata; Mammalia; Perissodactyla; Equidae
Description: lncRNA (ENSECAG00000059802.1)
Source: RNAcentral
UCCCUAAGCUCUCACGUGACUGCUGACUUGAUCAUAGAGUUCCGCUACACAUAUAAAGCAGAGAGAACUCAGUAAGCAAACCCUGUCACACAGAAAGGAAUGACAGUCCAUCUGUUCUUUUUCUAGUGGAGUUUGAAGAAAAAGAAGAGAGAGGAUAAAGUCAGGUCCCAGUGAUCUCACUUUCCUCCCCUUAGCAUGGAGGUCAAUAAAAAACAUCUAGAAAAUGUGUUAGGGAAAAUGAGGAUCUUGGAGUUAGUGGACUGCUCGCCUGGGUCUAGAGAAGCCCUAUCUAUAGUGGCUCAAUGUGAUGUUUAACACUGGGUGAGAGAUAUAAUGCAGCAUUGGCAAAGGGAGGCGGCGCAGAGAUGGCAUCCCAUGCGUGCGUGUGCCAUGGGGGGGAUCCAGAUGUUAUUUUAAGGUCUUCAUAUUCAGUCCAGUCCCCUCCAGAACAUAGGCAACAGUUUAUUAGUCUCUUUAAGACUCAUGUUUUCAUUUUUCCUGUGGUUUUAUAGAUGUUUUAGUGAGAUAUUGUGUGAGCCUGCCUCAGGGAGUAGUAGCCUCAUUGUUGGCACACCAAAAAAGGGUCUGGGAUGGUUUUAGCCACCCCUAAGCCACCACCAAUAAUCCCCAUCACCCUUUAUCCUUUGAGAUGAACAGCUGACUUUCUCAAACUUAAUGUAAAAUGCUAUGCAAACCCAACUUCAGGCUUCCUUCCAACCCUAUUGCUGCCUCCAAGCCUUCCAUACAUAGAAAUUUUGUAAUCACCAGUGGCUAACCAGAUGCCAUUUUGAACUCUAAACUCUUAAAAUAGGCACUUGAACUUUGAAGUUUUGAUGUUUUCUUUCCUGAG